AUCAGCCGCGGUAAUUCCAGCUCCAAUAGCGUAUAUUAAAGUUGUUGCAGUUAAAAAGCUCGUAGUUGAAUUUCGGGGUUCUACCGUUGGUCGGGCUUUGUCUGUACUGGCGUGUAGAAUUUCUACCUUCUGGGGAACCAUCAUGUUAUUAAUUUAACGUGGUGGGAAACCAGGACCUUUACCUUGAAAAAAUUAGAGUGUUCAGAGCAGGCUUAUGUCUGAAUACAUUAGCAUGGAAUAAUAAAAUAGGACGGUGGUCCUGUUUUGUUGGUUUCUGAAUCACCGUAAUGAUUAAUAGGGAUAGUUGGGGGCAUUAGUAUUCAAUUGUCAGAGGUGAAAUUCUUGGAUUUAU
RNAcentral lists this ribosomal RNA (352 nucleotides) under uncultured Racocetra. Its description in RNAcentral is "SSU rRNA". It matches the Rfam family "Eukaryotic small subunit ribosomal RNA", at positions 569 to 929 of the family's 1831-position model. The record is from RNAcentral. Lineage: Eukaryota; Fungi; Glomeromycota; Glomeromycetes; Diversisporales; Gigasporaceae.